ACAGAGACCACGAGAAUUACAGCCACACAGCAGUAUGACAGGAUGAAGUCCCAAGUGGGGAAGGUAUGAGGAUAGAGCAAGAUCCCUGAGGCCCUACAGCCUGCACCCCUGCUCCCCAAACCCCGUAGGGCCUGAGACUCUAAGGCUUAUCAGACAGCUGAGGAAUCCAUCAAGAUGACGGGCAGGCCCUGGUUUUGGUUGUCCUGGGAGACCUGAGUGUCUCCACUACGGCCACUCCAGCUGCGCUGAUGCAGCACAGAGCUGGAUGACUUACAUUCCGAACAUACCGGCUUGGUCAGCUGAGUGAGUCAUUUAGUAGCUGCAUGUUUGCAUUUAUAGACUUACCCCAGUGGUCUUAGAUGGCUGAAGUUACACUAACAUUUCAC
Molecule: long non-coding RNA, 386 nt
Filed under: Bos mutus (wild yak)
Lineage: Eukaryota; Metazoa; Chordata; Mammalia; Artiodactyla; Bovidae
Description: lncRNA (ENSBMUG00000020877.1)
Source: RNAcentral